This is a long non-coding RNA of Gadus macrocephalus (Pacific cod), 613 nucleotides long. RefSeq lists it as uncharacterized. The transcript has 2 exons. The record is from RefSeq and is a predicted model, not a curated record. Lineage: Eukaryota; Metazoa; Chordata; Actinopteri; Gadiformes; Gadidae.
GGGGCGGGGUUAGGGGCCGGGGGCCCCACACCAGACCCCCUGAGUGAGGGGUGACCAGGGGUGGGGUUAGGGUCCAGGGGCCCCACACCAGACCCCCAGAGUGAGGGUGGGGGUCUGGGGCCGGUAAAAGGUAGUUGCUGACACAUUGAAUACAUAGAAUACUCCUGAUAAUACGCCUCCAAUAUGUUGAUCAAUGAUGAGUAUGUAGUUGAACCAGGCGUCAAACUAGCUGCUUGUUAAUGCAGGCCGAGAAUGCACUGUCCCCCUUGGGAUAAAAACGUCUGCUAAAUAGUCAAAUAUCAAUCGUAAGCGGAAAGGACCUUUGGUGGGUUGAGGGUCACAGAGUGGAUUGAGUUCUAGUGUCAUAGAGUCCAUAUCUUCAGGCCAUCAGGGAAAUCAAUAAAUGCCACCAUAUGUUAAUCAAUUAUUUCUUCAGUGCCUUUGCUUCAUGUGGGUGACGUGUAGCCCAGUAUAACCAUACCAGUAGCCCAGUAUAACCAUACCAGUAGCCCAGCAUAACCAUACCAGUAGCCCAGUAUAACCAUACCAGUAGCCCAGCAUAACCAUACCAGUACUCAAGUAUAACCAUACCAGUAGCCCAGUAUAACCAUAC